This 381-nucleotide ribosomal RNA is filed under the name uncultured eukaryote. RNAcentral describes it as "partial 18S ribosomal RNA". It matches the Rfam family "Eukaryotic small subunit ribosomal RNA", at positions 592 to 976 of the family's 1831-position model. The record is from RNAcentral.
CAAUAGCGUAUAUUAAAGUUGUUGCGGUAAAAAAGCUCGUAGUUGGAUUUCUACCGAAGAUAGCCGGUCGGGUCUUCGACCUUGUAUCUGGUUUUGUCUUCGGUAUCCUCAUAGGGAACGUUUCUGCGCUUUAUUGCGUGGUGCGGUAUCUAUGACUUUUACUUUGAGGAAAUUAGAGUGUUCACGGCAGGCAAACGCCUUGAAUAUAUUAGCAUGGAAUAAUAACAUAGGAUCUUCGUCCUAUUUUGUUGGUUUCUAGGGCUAAGAUAAUGAUUAAUAGGGAUAAUUGGGGGCAUCUGUAUCAACGCGUCAGAGGUGGAAUUCUUGGAUUGCGUUGCGACAAACUACUGCGAAAGCAUUUGCCAAGGAUGUUUUCAUUGA